RNAcentral lists this ribosomal RNA (714 nucleotides) under uncultured archaeon. Its description in RNAcentral is "bacterial SSU rRNA". It matches the Rfam family "Archaeal small subunit ribosomal RNA", at positions 156 to 855 of the family's 1478-position model. The record is from RNAcentral.
AUAGGUGUGGAUUCCUGGAAUGGUACCACGCCCAAAUGUAACGCGUCCAUGUAUGCGUGAACGCCCAAGGAUGGGGCUGCGGCCGAUCAGGCAGUUGGUGAGGUAACGGCUCACCAAACCUUUGACCGGUACGGGCCAUGAGAGUGGUAGCCCGGAGAUGGGCACUGAGACAAGGGCCCAGGCCCUACGGGGCGCAGCAGGCGCGAAACCUCCACAAUUCACGAAAGUGAGAUGGGGUUACCUCGAGUGCCGCCUGAUGAAGGCGGCUUUUCCAUUGUGUAAUGAGCCGUGGGAAUAAGAGGGGGGCAAGACUGGUGUCAGCCGCCGCGGUAACACCAGCCCCUCGAGUGGUGGGGAUGAUUAUUUGGCCUAAAGCGUCCGUAGCCGGCCCUGUAAAUCUUUCGUUAAAUCCAGCGUCCUAAGCGUUGGGCUGCGAGAGAAACUGCAGAGCUAGAGGGUGGGAGAGGUCAGCGGUAUUCCUGGGGUAGGGGCGAAAUCCAUUGAUCCCAGGAGGACCACCAGUGGCGAAGGCUGCUGACUUGAACACGCCUGACGGUGAGGGACGAAAGCUGGGGUAGCGAAUCGGAUUAGAUACCCGAGUAGUCCCAGCCGUAAACGAUGCAGGCUAGGUGUUGGGUCGGCCACGUGCUGGCUCAGUGCCACAGGGAAGCCAUUAAGCCUGCCGCCUGGGGAGUACGGCCGCAAGGCUGAAAC